GACUGGUCCGAUUGUAGUGGGUACAAACGAUUGAUAAUGUUCACAGUCAGUUACGUAGAAGUCCAUAUUUGUGACCCCAACCUGCUCUCGCUACACAAUUUGACUAGUCUUUU
This 113-nucleotide Y RNA is filed under the name Hucho hucho (huchen). RNAcentral describes it as "Y RNA (ENSHHUG00000025985.1)". It matches the Rfam family "Y RNA". Rfam says of the family: Y RNAs are components of the Ro ribonucleoprotein particle (Ro RNP), in association with Ro60 and La proteins. The Y RNAs and Ro60 and La proteins are well conserved, but the function of the Ro RNP is not known. In humans the RNA component can be one of four small RNAs -- hY1, hY3, hY4 and hY5. Lineage: Eukaryota; Metazoa; Chordata; Actinopteri; Salmoniformes; Salmonidae. The record is from Rfam by way of RNAcentral.